UACGGGGGGGGCAAGCGUUGUUCGGAAUUACUGGGCGUAAAGGGCUCGUAGGCGGCCAACUAAGUCAUACGUAAAAUCCCUCGGCUUAACCGGGGAACUGCGUCUGAUACUGGAUGGCUUGAGUUCGGGAGAGGGAUGCGGAAUUCCAGGUGUAGCGGUGAAAUGCGUAGAUAUCUGGAGGAACACCGGUGGCGAAGGCGGCAUCCUGGACCGAUACUGACGCUGAGGAGCGAAAGCCAGGGGAGCAAACAGG
Molecule: ribosomal RNA, 253 nt
Filed under: uncultured bacterium
Lineage: Bacteria
Description: partial 16S ribosomal RNA
Rfam family: Bacterial small subunit ribosomal RNA
Source: RNAcentral